Molecule: ribosomal RNA, 539 nt
Rfam family: Bacterial large subunit ribosomal RNA
CUGCCCAGUGACUCUGUUCAACGGCCGCGGUAUCCUAACCGUGCGAAGGUAGCGUAAUCACUUGUUCUUUAAAUGUGGACUAGUAUGAAUGGCAUCACGAAGGUUAUACUGUCUCCUUUUUCUAAUCAGUGAAACUAAUCUCCCCGUGAAGAAGCGAGGAUAAAACUAUAAGACGAGAAGACCCUAUGGAGCUUUAAACAUUUAUAACACUUGCUAAAUAAAAUACAAAUUUCAGAAUUAUUUACUCUUUAAGCAACUUGUCUAUAAGUUUUUGGUUGGGGUGACCGCGGAGCAUAAUACAACCUCCAUGUUGAAAGAUCUAUUUCUAAGCUAAGAGCUACACCUCUAAGCAUCAACAUAUUGACAUCCAUUGACCCAAUAUAUUUGAACAACGAACCAAGUUACCCUAGGGAUAACAGCGCAAUCCACUUCAAGAGCUCCUAUCGACAAGUGGGUUUACGACCUCGAUGUUGGAUCAGGGUUUCCCAGUGGUGCAGCCGCUACUAAAGGUUCGUUUGUUCAACGAUUAAAACCCUACG